CACACAACUCUCGGCAACGGAUAUCUCGGCUCUCGCAUCGAUGAAAAACGUAGCGAAAUGCGAUACCUGGUGUGAAUUGCAAAAUCCCGCGAACCAUCGAGUCUUUGAACGCAAGUUGCGCCCGAGGCCAUUCGGCCGAGGGCACGCCUGCCUGGGCGUCACGC
This 164-nucleotide ribosomal RNA is filed under the name Calamagrostis epigejos. RNAcentral's name for it is "Calamagrostis epigeios 5.8S ribosomal RNA". It matches the Rfam family "5.8S ribosomal RNA". From Rfam's summary of the family: 5.8S ribosomal RNA (5.8S rRNA) is a component of the large subunit of the eukaryotic ribosome. It is transcribed by RNA polymerase I as part of the 45S precursor that also contains 18S and 28S rRNA. Lineage: Eukaryota; Viridiplantae; Streptophyta; Magnoliopsida; Poales; Poaceae. The record is from RNAcentral.